This 352-nucleotide unclassified non-coding RNA is filed under the name Melitaea cinxia (Glanville fritillary). RNAcentral's name for it is "misc RNA ENSMCXG00005022184.1". The record is from RNAcentral. Lineage: Eukaryota; Metazoa; Arthropoda; Insecta; Lepidoptera; Nymphalidae.
ACUUUGUCAAUACUAUAUAAGAUAUAUUAAUAUAUAAUAGUUUUUAAGAUUAAUUUUGUGUACUAGUCCUUAAGAUUACUUAAUAUAUCAUCUAUAUUAUUAUAUUAUAUAAAAAAAAAAAAAAAAAAAAAAAAAAAAAAAAAAAAAAAAAAAAAAAAAAAAAAAAAAAAAAAAUACUCUGUAAAUCAAUAAUAAAAAAAAAAAACAUAAAUGUGCAAUCAAAAAAGAUCAAUAUAUAUACAAAAAAAAAAAAAAAAAAAAAAAAAAAAAAAAAAAAAAACCAUCAAAAAAAAAAAAAAAAAAAAAAAAAAAAAAAAAAAAAAAAAAAAAAAAAAAAAAAAUCAUCAGCGAA